UACGAAGGGGGCUAGCGUUGCUCGGAUUGACUGGGCGUAAAGGGCGCGUAGGCGGUUCGUACAGUCAGACGUGAAAUUCCUGGACUCAACCUGGGGCUGCGUUGAUUACGUACGGACUUGAGUGCGGAAGAGGGUCGUGGAAUUCCCAGUGUAGAGGUGAAAUUCGUAGAUAUUGGGAAGAACACCGGUGGCGAAGGCGGCGACCUGGUCCGAUACUGACGCUGAGGCGCGAAAGCGUGGGGAGCAAACAGG
Molecule: ribosomal RNA, 252 nt
Filed under: uncultured bacterium
Lineage: Bacteria
Description: partial 16S ribosomal RNA
Rfam family: Bacterial small subunit ribosomal RNA
Source: RNAcentral